RNAcentral lists this long non-coding RNA (323 nucleotides) under Helianthus annuus (common sunflower). RNAcentral's name for it is "sRNA HanXRQr2_Chr01g0024821". Lineage: Eukaryota; Viridiplantae; Streptophyta; Magnoliopsida; Asterales; Asteraceae. The record is from RNAcentral.
UUACUUUCAUAAGUUAUUUUCAUGACCUUAAGCUCCAAAUCUCUAAACCAUAUGUAAACACCUAUUAAACUCCAAAUCGAACACAUUCAACUUUCUAGUCUCAACAACCUUGUCACAUUGGAUAAAUCGGAAAGCAUAUGCAAUUUUGUUAAUUAUUGAAUGAUAUGCAAGACGAAACAAGAUUUAGGGUGGACUAGAUACACACCUAGAUUAAUCUAUCUUUUAUUGUUAUGUUAUGUUAUGGAACAAUGUUGUUAUUUCUUUUUGAAUCUUGUAUGACAUUUAGUAUUGCAAUGAAAUUUGAAUUUAAAUUAAAUAUUGUC